UACGUUCAUCCUUAACAGGACGGAAGUAGGCACAUAAUGCCGAAGGAACGCAUU
The submitters of this non-coding RNA (54 nucleotides) gave its source as unclassified sequences. The record is from Rfam.